CCGGUUUGGCUCAGUGGAUAGAGCGUCGGCCUGCGGACUGAAAGGUCCCAGGUUCGAUUCCGGUCAAGGGCGUGUGCCUGGUGGGAGAUGUGCGGGAGGCAGCUGAUCGAUGUUUCUCUCUCAUCGAUGUUUCUGGCUCUCUAUCUCUCUCCUUUCCUCUCUGUAAAAAAUCAAUAAAAUAUAUUUAAAAAAAAAAAAAAAAAAAGAAA
Molecule: long non-coding RNA, 209 nt
Organism: Myotis daubentonii (Daubenton's bat)
Lineage: Eukaryota; Metazoa; Chordata; Mammalia; Chiroptera; Vespertilionidae
Exons: 2
Source: RefSeq, a predicted model, not a curated record